AUACGGAGGAUCCGAGCGUUAUCCGGAUUUAUUGGGUUUAAAGGGAGCGUAGGUGGAUUGUUAAGUCAGUUGUGAAAGUUUGCGGCUCAACCGUAAAAUUGCAGUUGAAACUGGCAGUCUUGAGUACAGUAGAGGUGGGCGGAAUUCGUGGUGUAGCGGUGAAAUGCUUAGAUAUCACGAAGAACUCCGAUUGCGAAGGCAGCUCACUAGACUGUUACUGACACUGAUGCUCGAAAGUGUUGGUAUCAAACAGGAUUAGAUACGCUGGUAGUCCACACAGUAAACGAUGAAUACUCGCUGUUUGCGAUAUACAGUAAGCGGCCAAGCGAAAGCAUUAAGUAUUCCACCUGGGGAGUACGCCGGCAACGGUGAAACUCAAAGGAAUUGACGGGG
RNAcentral lists this ribosomal RNA (393 nucleotides) under uncultured bacterium. RNAcentral describes it as "partial 16S ribosomal RNA". It matches the Rfam family "Bacterial small subunit ribosomal RNA", at positions 523 to 918 of the family's 1533-position model. The record is from RNAcentral.